RNAcentral lists this transfer RNA (97 nucleotides) under Terriglobales bacterium. RNAcentral's name for it is "Acidobacteriales bacterium (soil metagenome) tRNA-Sec". It matches the Rfam family "Selenocysteine transfer RNA". Lineage: Bacteria; Pseudomonadati; Acidobacteriota; Terriglobia; Terriglobales. The record is from RNAcentral.
GGAAGCGCAGGGGGUCCGGUGACUCUCCCGGUCUUCAAAACCGGCGGACGGCGGUGAACCCGUCGUUGGUGGGUUCGACUCCCACUCGCUUCCGCCA